UACAGAGGUGGCAAGCGUUGUUCGGAAUUACUGGGCGUAAAGGGCGCGUAGGCGGUCUUGUAAGUCCCGUGUGAAAUCCCUCGGCUCAACUGAGGAACUGCACGGGAAACUGCCUGGCUUGAGUUCGGGAGAGGGAAGCGGAAUUCCGGGUGUAGCGGUGAAAUGCGUAGAUAUCCGGAGGAACACCGGUGGCGAAGGCGGCUUCCUGGACCGACACUGACGCUGAGGCGCGAAAGCUAGGGGAGCAAACAGG
Molecule: ribosomal RNA, 253 nt
Filed under: uncultured bacterium
Lineage: Bacteria
Description: partial 16S ribosomal RNA
Rfam family: Bacterial small subunit ribosomal RNA
Source: RNAcentral